RNAcentral lists this ribosomal RNA (492 nucleotides) under uncultured bacterium. RNAcentral describes it as "partial 16S ribosomal RNA". It matches the Rfam family "Bacterial small subunit ribosomal RNA", at positions 29 to 507 of the family's 1533-position model. The record is from RNAcentral.
AGUGAACGCUGGCGGUAGGCCUAACACAUGCAAGUCGAACGGCAGCACAGUAAGAGCUUGCUCUUACGGGUGGCGAGUGGCGGACGGGUGAGGAAUACAUCGGAAUCUACUUUUUCGUGGGGGAUAACGUAGGGAAACUUACGCUAAUACCGCAUACGACCUACGGGUGAAAGCAGGGGAUCUUCGGACCUUGCGCGAUUGAAUGAGCCGAUGUCGGAUUAGCUAGUUGGCGGGGUAAAGGCCCACCAAGGCGACGAUCCGUAGCUGGUCUGAGAGGAUGAUCAGCCACACUGGAACUGAGACACGGUCCAGACUCCUACGGGAGGCAGCAGUGGGGAAUAUUGGACAAUGGGCGCGAGCCUGGUCCAGCCAUACCGCGUGGGUGAAGAAGGCGUUGGGGUUGUAAAGCCCUUUUGUUGGGAGAGAAAAGCAGCAGGUUAAUACCACGCUGUUCUGACGGUACCCAAAGAAUAAGCACCGGCUAACUUCGUG